This 899-nucleotide ribosomal RNA is filed under the name Burkholderia cepacia. RNAcentral describes it as "bacterial SSU rRNA". It matches the Rfam family "Bacterial small subunit ribosomal RNA", at positions 40 to 928 of the family's 1533-position model. Lineage: Bacteria; Pseudomonadati; Pseudomonadota; Betaproteobacteria; Burkholderiales; Burkholderiaceae. The record is from RNAcentral.
GGGGAUGACUUACCUGCAGUCGAACGGCAGCACGGGUGCUUGCACCUGGUGGCGAGUGGCGAACGGGUGAGUAAUACAUCGGAACAUGUCCUGUAGUGGGGGAUAGCCCGGCGAAAGCCGGAUUAAUACCGCAUACGAUCUACGGAUGAAAGCGGGGGACCUUCGGGCCUCGCGCUAUAGGGUUGGCCGAUGGCUGAUUAGCUAGUUGGUGGGGUAAAGGCCUACCAAGGCGACGAUCAGUAGCUGGUCUGAGAGGACGACCAGCCACACUGGGACUGAGACACGGCCCAGACUCCUACGGGAGGCAGCAGUGGGGAAUUUUGGACAAUGGGCGAAAGCCUGAUCCAGCAAUGCCGCGUGUGUGAAGAAGGCCUUCGGGUUGUAAAGCACUUUUGUCCGGAAAGAAAUCCUUGACUCUAAUACAGUCGGGGGAUGACGGUACCGGAAGAAUAAGCACCGGCUAACUACGUGCCAGCAGCCGCGGUAAUACGUAGGGUGCAAGCGUUAAUCGGAAUUACUGGGCGUAAAGCGUGCGCAGGCGGUUUGCUAAGACCGAUGUGAAAUCCCCGGGCUCAACCUGGGAACUGCAUUGGUGACUGGCAGGCUAGAGUAUGGCAGAGGGGGGGUAGAAUUCCCGGUGUAGCAGUGAAAUGCGUAGAGAUGGUGGAGGAAUACCGAUUGGCGAAGGCAGCCCCCUGGGCCAAUACUGACGCUCAUGCACGAAAGCGUGGGGAGCAAACAGGAUUAGAUACCCCUGGUAGUCCACGCCCUAAACGAUGUCCAACUAGUUGGUGGGGGAUUCAUUUCCUUAGUAACGUAGCUAACGGCGUGAAGUUGACGGCCUGGGGGAGUACGGUCGCAAGAUUAAAACUCAAAGGAAUUGACGGGGACCCGCACAA